GAUGAACGCUGGCGGCGUGCCUAAUACAUGCAAGUCGAGCGAACAGACGCGGAGCUUGCUCCUCUGACGUUAGCGGCGGACGGGUGAGUAACACGUGGAUAACCUCCCUAUCAGACUGGGAUCACUUCGGGAAACCGGAGCUAAUCCCGGAUAAUAUCUUGAACCGCAUGGUUCGAUAGUGAAAUACGGUUUUUCUGUCACUUAUAGAUGGAUCCGCGCCGCUUUAGCUAGUUGGUAAGGUAACGGCCUACCAAGGCAAGGAGGCGUAGCCGACCUGAGAGGGGGAUCGGCCACACGAGAACGGAGACACGGACCAGACUCCUACGGGAGGCAGCAGUAGGGAAUGUUCGGCAGUGGGCGGAAGCAUGACGGAGCAAGGGCGCGUGAGUGAUGAAGGUCUUCGGAUCGUAAAACUCUGUUAUUAGGGAAGAACAAAUGUGGAAGUAACUAUGCACGGAUUGACGGUAACUAAUCAGAAAGCCACGGCUAACUACGUG
RNAcentral lists this ribosomal RNA (497 nucleotides) under uncultured bacterium. RNAcentral's name for it is "partial 16S ribosomal RNA". It matches the Rfam family "Bacterial small subunit ribosomal RNA", at positions 28 to 507 of the family's 1533-position model. The record is from RNAcentral.